GCCUUAUCAAGAGAAACUGAGGGACUGGCCUAAUGACGUUUCAGCAACCAUACUUAAAAAGUGAAGGUGCUAAUUCCAGCAGAACUGAGUUCUGGAAGAUAGGGG
This 105-nucleotide non-coding RNA is filed under the name Clostridium acidisoli. Its description in RNAcentral is "SAM-I sequence". It matches the Rfam family "SAM riboswitch aptamer (S box leader)". From Rfam's summary of the family: The SAM riboswitch is found upstream of a number of genes which code for proteins involved in methionine or cysteine biosynthesis in Gram-positive bacteria. The SAM riboswitch acts at the level of transcription termination control. Lineage: Bacteria; Bacillati; Bacillota; Clostridia; Eubacteriales; Clostridiaceae. The record is from RNAcentral. RNAcentral also lists the same sequence under 1 other name.